GGGGUGGGCAGAACCCACCAUGGGAAAAGCUGGAGUCAGGGCUGAGGGAGGAGAGGCCUCUCCACCCGAUUCCCCAGCACCCCUGCUCCCCUUCCUCCGGGGCUGACUCAUUGUUUUGCAACAAACAGCCGGCAGCCAGGUCCCAGCAGUUUCUCAAGCCUGGCCCCCAGGCUGGCUGGGCUCAAUCCUGGCCCUCCCAACUGCCUGGCCAGGCCCUGAACGAUUGAGUUAUCUCCACUCGCAUCCCCUUUGUUUGGGGCGGCUACUUGCCCACUCAAGGUAAACAAAUUCUGGGCCUGUGUGAAAAGAAAGGAACGGUUAUCUCUGAGGCCCUCAGCGGCCUGGCUGGGGAGCAAGACUUUCAGAGGCUUCUGUCUCCAAAGAGAGGAGGGAUUUCGGAGCAUAGCGUCCAGAGGCCAGCUGCCUGGGUUCAAGCUCCACCUCGGCCACUGACUGCUGAUGACCUUGGGUACAAUGGUGAACGACACAGACCCAAUCCCUGCCCUGGGAGAGUGAAUCAUCUAGCAACGGAGACAAAUAUUCAAUACACACCCAACGCAUAGUU
Molecule: long non-coding RNA, 565 nt
Filed under: Homo sapiens (human)
Lineage: Eukaryota; Metazoa; Chordata; Mammalia; Primates; Hominidae
Description: HSALNT0302120
Source: RNAcentral